RNAcentral lists this ribosomal RNA (454 nucleotides) under uncultured bacterium. RNAcentral describes it as "bacterial SSU rRNA". It matches the Rfam family "Bacterial small subunit ribosomal RNA", at positions 8 to 507 of the family's 1533-position model. The record is from RNAcentral.
AGAGUUUGAUCAUGGCUCAGAGCGAACGCUGGCGGCAGGCUUAACACAUGCAAGUCGAACGGGCGUAGCAAUACGUCAGUGGCAGACGGGUGAGUAACACGUGGGAACGUACCCUUUGGUUCGGAACAACACAGGGAAACUUGUGCUAAUACCGGAUAAGCCCUUACGGGGAAAGAUUUAUCGCCGAAGGAUCGGCCCGCGUCUGAUCAGCUUGUUGGUGAGGUAAUGGCUCACCAAGGCGACGAUCAGUAGCUGGUCUGAGAGGAUGAUCAGCCACACUGGGACUGAGACACGGCCCAGACUCCUACGGGAGGCAGCAGUGGGAACAUUGGACAAUGGGCGCAAGCCUGAUCCAGCCAUGCCGCGUGAGUGAUGAAGGCCCUAGGGUUGUAAAGCUCUUUUGGCGGGGAAGAUAAUGACGGUACUCGCAGAAUAAGCCCCGGCUAACUUCGUG